This 537-nucleotide long non-coding RNA is filed under the name Olea europaea (common olive). RNAcentral's name for it is "long non-coding RNA (OEUR_LNC011512)". The record is from RNAcentral. Lineage: Eukaryota; Viridiplantae; Streptophyta; Magnoliopsida; Lamiales; Oleaceae.
GAUUAAAGAAAUAAAAAGAUGAAAACCAUUUCCAAUUCGGGAUAAAUAUUUUAGACUUAUAGUAGUAACAUUUAUAGAAGAACUAACAAUACAUUACCAAUUAGAUGACUAGAAAAAUAGAGAAACAAAAAUGGACAGAGAUUAAAAAGGGCAAAAAAAAAAAAAAAAAAAGAGAAGGGAAAGAAAAAAAACUUGCAGCGUCUUUUUUCUUGUCUUCUGACACGGUUUCGGCUCCAUCUGGGCUCUCAGAUUUGAUUAGAAGUGAAAUAAUAUCAAGAAUACAUCCCAGAAGGGGAAUUGAAGAACAAGUAGAUGCAGUUUGAUCUGUAUUCAUGGUUUAUGUUAAGCUGAUCAAAUUUGGUGUAUGUGCAAGAAAAUUUUUGGUUAUUGAAGAUGAUUGCUUUAAACUUACGAAGUAAUCCAAGAAGCAGCAGUACUUAUAAUGGGUGGGGGGAGAGAGUAACCUUGUUCAAAGUCUGAUUCUCGCCGUCUUGCGUAGCACGUUCUAUUUAGGUCAAAUUAGUCACCCCAAAUAAU